UACAGAGGCCUCAAGCGUUAUCCGGAAUCAUUGGGCGUAAAGCGUGUCUAGGUGGUUGUGUUAGUCUCUUGUUAAAGUUCCCGGCUUAACCGGGAAAGUGCGGGAGAAACGGCGCAACUAGAGAAUGUGAGAGGACUGCGGAACUCUAGGUGUAGGGGUGAAAUCCGUUGAUAUCUAGGGGAACACCAAAGGCGAAGGCAGCAGUCUGGCGCAUUUCUGACACUCACACACGAAAGCGUGGGUAGCGAAUGGG
This 253-nucleotide unclassified non-coding RNA is filed under the name uncultured Parcubacteria group bacterium. RNAcentral's name for it is "contains 16S-23S intergenic spacer region". It matches the Rfam family "Bacterial small subunit ribosomal RNA", at positions 524 to 776 of the family's 1533-position model. The record is from RNAcentral.